UUAGGCCUACGGGGCGCAGCAGUGGGGAAUAUUGCACAAUGGGCGAAAGCCUGAUGCAGCAACGCCGCGUGAGCGAAGAAGGUCUUCGGAUUGUAAAGCUCUGUCCUAGGGGAAGAAGAAAAUGACGGUACCCUUGGAGGAAGCCCCGGCUAACUACGUGCCAGCAGCCGCGGUAAUACGGAGGAUGCGAGCGUUAUCCGGAUUUAUUGGGUUUAAAGGGUGCGCAGGCGGCCUGUUAAGUCAGCGGUAAAAGCCCGGGGCUCAACCCCGGCGAGCCGUUGAAACUGGCGGGCUGGAGUUGGAGG
Molecule: ribosomal RNA, 305 nt
Filed under: uncultured bacterium
Lineage: Bacteria
Description: bacterial SSU rRNA
Rfam family: Bacterial small subunit ribosomal RNA
Source: RNAcentral